CUCGCUCUGACUUUGCCUCAUGUGCUCGAGAUAUACCCUGAACUGCUGUCCGAAAUCCCCGCUUCUAUGCCAUUUUGAUUUUGGGGAUUGGACAGUGAAUCUGCGCCGGAGUUUUUACUCUAGAUUGCUCCUCUGGGUCGGUGUCCAAUCGUUUUCCUUGCGAUACUGGAGCCUCUAGUAUCCUACCCCGGGUUUCUCUCCACUGUGAUUACCAGAUUGCAGUGUUGUUCGUCAGAUGUUGGCGUGCGCCUUCGCAUCAUUUUGUGAAAUCAGUACUGUGUCAGUGUAUGUGGUAGUCACUGCGCCGCCGCCGCCGCCGUGGUGGUCGUGGUGGUGUCGAGAAGUGGCAUGUGGUUGGCCUUCGAUUGUUUGUUGCCUUCGGAGCCUAUGACAGAGUUAUGAUAUUAGCUCCUUUCAUGGAAGGAGUGUGUUCGUCGUAGAGGACACUUUUCUUUGCGAGUGGAUUCUUUGGACUUCGGGGUUGUUGUGAAACCACUCUUGUUUGAGGUUUCGUUCUUUGUUCCAUGUGCGCUCACAUGUUCGUAAUUGGGUUUGUCAAUCUACCAUCUGUAGGUUUUGAACUUUUCGCUUAGUUGGGUAUCAGUGAUCUCUCAGCUUGGAACAGUUAUGGAUCUCUAAGAGACUGGAGAGUUGUUCACAAAUCUGGUCCGCUUUCAAGUCUUGUCAAGCGCAAGUUAUGCAGUUUAACUAACUAUUUGUUUUUAAAAUGAUUCUCAGGUUCUCGGUCCAUCGGGCUGGGUUGUCUCACAUAUUCACCGACAUCACAAAUUAGUGGCUCUCUUUAAGCUGUUAAUCCUUCUGGAAUCUUACAGCCUUCAAAUCUAUGGAGCUUUUGCCUCAUUGAGAGAAGUCUAGUUAGGACCGAAAUAGAAUAGCUGAAGCAUCAAGUAACAGCCCAAAUGGACACCAUAAAAGUUUGUGUGAGUAAUUUAUGGGCUCUUCAGGAGCGCCGUUACUCUGUCGUUUACUUAACGGUUACGAGGUUUGUUCGUACCGUGAUGCGGCUCAUUCUUCGCAGCACUCCGAGAUACUUCUGGUGGUACUCUACGUCUUUCAGAUUGUCCUUCUUCUACGCGUGUGGCCUUCUGUUGCUCCGAUCAAUACUGUGUAUUUUGUUCUUACUAUAUCCAGGUCACACUGUGCUCAAAACGGCUUGCAAUCUAUAUCCCACAACUUAAUUUGUAAAUCAGUGAUUUCCAAUCCUUUCCCGUAUCUCCUGUUGAUAACGUCGUUUCUUUGAGAUGUAUGUUUAUUCGAUAGGUCUCUCAGAGGACCCAGCAGUACUGUUAUAUUGCAUGCGAGUUGGUGUGAAAAUCACCCAUAAUCAUUCCAAGUUGGGAGUCAUUAUGAUAGUUUUCUUUUGGAAGUACUUUGGUUGACAUCUAGUCCAAAUAAUGCAAGUGAGGUAUGCUGAGUUUGGGUGGUUCGAAAGAAAUUCCAGAUUUCACAGUUUUUAAUCUACUUCUCCUGCUGCCUACAGUUGAGAACGUAGGACGAGGUUGGCGUAUUUAGGCUGCUUUUUCGUCUCUACACAUCUUGCCAACAAGGAUGACCAUGACUGUGGCAGCGCUGACAACAGAAGACCUGGUGAUUCAAAACAACACUGAAGCUAGAUAAUUGAAUCAACUCAGUUCUUAAAGCUCGUGCAGUGCAGAUGCCAGCCACAAUGUUGUGGUGGGUACAUGAGAUUCACGGCUUCAUUAUUUUUCCCUGUAGCAUCAUAAAUACAUUCCAGGAGUAGCAAGUAUGACGUUGGACUCAUGCUAUUGUUGAGUCCUGGCGGAUAUGUAUAAGAGAUAAUUUAGGUUAGCACUCGGUUUUAGGUCCAUCAAGUUUGGUUGGUCUUAGAGACUACUAUUCUUGGAGUUAUUUGGAUUUCAUGAGGAUGUUGUGCACAUGUUUCUUUUCAGAACCAUGAGUCGUGUUUUUGCAACACUAAAUUAUUGUGGGAUGUUAUAUCCUUGAGGCCAUCACUGAACUGAAAAUGGUUGUAUCAUCUCAGUGAAGUUGACUUUUUCAGGAUAUCUCUUCAUUGGAGGUUCGUUUACAGGCUCUGCAUUUUCAAAUGUGAGCUCAAAUUAUAAAUGUUAUUGCUCUUACUGGA
Molecule: non-coding RNA, 2125 nt
Organism: Physcomitrium patens
Lineage: Eukaryota; Viridiplantae; Streptophyta; Bryopsida; Funariales; Funariaceae
Source: RefSeq, a predicted model, not a curated record